CUGGAUGUGCUCGUUGGUCAUA
This 22-nucleotide microRNA is filed under the name Caenorhabditis elegans. Its description in RNAcentral is "cel-miR-44-5p". Its record names the gene cel-miR-44-5p. Lineage: Eukaryota; Metazoa; Nematoda; Chromadorea; Rhabditida; Rhabditidae. The record is from miRBase by way of RNAcentral.